UACGUAGGUGACAAGCGUUGUCCGGAUUUAUUGGGCGUAAAGAGCGUGUAGGCGGCUUGGUAGGUCCGCUGUGAAAACUCGAGGCUCAACCUCGAGAUGUCGGCGGAAACCACUUGGCUAGAGUCCGGAAGAGGAGAGUGGAAUUCCCGGUGUAGCGGUGAAAUGCGCAGAUAUCGGGAAGAACACCUAUGGCGAAGGCAGCUCUCUGGGACGGUACUGACGCUGAGACGCGAAAGCGUGGGGAGCGAGCCGG
This 253-nucleotide ribosomal RNA is filed under the name uncultured bacterium. RNAcentral describes it as "partial 16S ribosomal RNA". It matches the Rfam family "Bacterial small subunit ribosomal RNA", at positions 524 to 776 of the family's 1533-position model. The record is from RNAcentral.